GUUGAUCGCGUCGGAAGUGUAAUCUUGGGGCUUAACCCUGAGCGUGCUUUCGAUACGGGUUGACUUGAGGAAGGUAGGGGAGAAUGGAAUUCCUGGUGGAGCGGUGGAAUGCGCAGAUAUCAGGAGGAACACCAGUGGCGAAGGCGGUUCUCUGGGCCUUUCCUGACGCUGAGGAGCGAAAGCGUGGGGAGCGAACAGGCUUAGAUACCCUGGUAGUCCACGCUGUAAACGGUGGGUACUAGGUGUGGGGUCCAUUCCACGGGUUCCGUGCCGUAGCUAACGCUUUAAGUACCCCGCCUGGGGAGUACGGCCGCAAGGCUAAAACUCAAAGGAAUUGACGGGGCCCCGCACAAGCGGCGGAGCAUGCGGAUUAAUUCGAUGCAACGCGUAGAACCUUACCUGGGUUUGACAUGGAUCGGGAGUGCUCAGAGAUGGGUGUGCCUCUUUUGGGGUCGGUUCACAGGUGGUGCAUGGCUGUCGUCAGCUCGUGUCGUGAGAUGUUGGGUUAAGUCCCGCAACGAGCGCAACCCUUGUUCACUGUUGCCAGCACGUUAUGGUGGGGACUCAGUGGAGACCGCCGGGGUCAACUCGGAGGAAGGUGGGGAUGACGUCAAGUCGUCGUGCCCCUUAUGUCCAGGGCUUCACGCAUGCUACAAUGGCUGGUACAGAGAGUGGCGAGCCUGUGAGGGUGAGCGAAUCUCGGAAAGCCGGUCUCAGUUCGGAUUGGGGUCUGCAACUCGACCUCAUGAAGUCGGAGUCGCU
Molecule: ribosomal RNA, 762 nt
Filed under: uncultured bacterium
Lineage: Bacteria
Description: bacterial SSU rRNA
Rfam family: Bacterial small subunit ribosomal RNA
Source: RNAcentral